This 492-nucleotide ribosomal RNA is filed under the name uncultured bacterium. Its description in RNAcentral is "partial 16S ribosomal RNA". It matches the Rfam family "Bacterial small subunit ribosomal RNA", at positions 29 to 507 of the family's 1533-position model. The record is from RNAcentral.
AGUGAACGCUGGCGGUAGGCCUAACACAUGCAAGUCGAACGGCAGCACAGUAAGAGCUUGCUCUUACGGGUGGCGAGUGGCGGACGGGUGAGGAAUACAUCGGAAUCUACUUUUUCGUGGGGGAGAACGUAGGGAAACUUACGCUAAUACCGCAUACGACCUACGGGUGAAAGCAGGGGAUCUUCGGACCUUGCGCGAUUGAAUGAGCCGAUGUCGGAUUAGCUAGUUGGCGGGGUAAAGGCCCACCAAGGCGACGAUCCGUAGCUGGUCUGAGAGGAUGAUCAGCCACACUGGAACUGAGACACGGUCCAGACUCCUACGGGAGGCAGCAGUGGGGAAUAUUGGACAAUGGGCGCAAGCCUGAUCCAGCCAUACCGCGUGGGUGAAGAAGGCCUUCGGGUUGUAAAGCCCUUUUGUUGGGAAAGAAAAGCAGCAGGUUAAUACCCCGCUGUUCUGACGGUACCAAAAGAAUAAGCACCGGCUAACUUCGUG